This 135-nucleotide long non-coding RNA is filed under the name Fukomys damarensis (Damara mole-rat). RNAcentral describes it as "lncRNA (ENSFDAG00000024535.1)". Lineage: Eukaryota; Metazoa; Chordata; Mammalia; Rodentia; Bathyergidae. The record is from RNAcentral.
UCUCAACUCAGGCAAAUUUCAGGGCUGCUGCUGCUGCUGCUGCUUUGGACCAACCAGCACUACAGACACAGAAUUAAAUGCAGAGAGAACCACAGUUUAUUGAUACAUGCCUGGAGUGAUCUUGCAAGCCUGUAA